ACAAGUUUCAACCUGAAACUGAUAUGUACAGUUUACAGGCCUAUAUGUAAAUAUUAGUUAUACUCAACCUAUUUUCAUUUAUAUAUUUGAUAACAAUGUCACACAGCUCUCUUACACUUAUGCUGUUAGGAAGAGAGAGAGA
Long non-coding RNA from Etheostoma cragini (Arkansas darter), 142 nucleotides. RefSeq lists it as uncharacterized. The transcript has 3 exons. Lineage: Eukaryota; Metazoa; Chordata; Actinopteri; Perciformes; Percidae. The record is from RefSeq and is a predicted model, not a curated record.